Molecule: ribosomal RNA, 415 nt
Filed under: uncultured bacterium
Lineage: Bacteria
Description: bacterial SSU rRNA
Rfam family: Bacterial small subunit ribosomal RNA
Source: RNAcentral
AGAGUUUGAUCAUGGCUCAGAAUGAACGCUGGCGGCGUGCUUAACACAUGCAAGUCGAGCGAGAAAGUCUCUUCGGAGGUGAGUAAAGCGGCGGACGGGUGAGUAACGCGUGAGAAUUUGCCCUUCAGUGAAGAAUACCCUAAAGAAAUUUAGGUUAAUACUGCAUAAGUCCCUUCGGGGAGAAAGGUGGCCUCUUGCUGCCGCUAAAGGAUAAGCUUGCGUGCUAUUAGUUAGUUGGUGGGGUAAUGGCCUACCAAGACGAUGAUGGCUAGCCGGCCUGAGAGGGUGUACGGCCACAUUGGAACUGAGAUACGGUCCCGACUCCUUACGGGAGGCAGCAGUGAGGGAUAUUGUGCGAUGGGCGAAAGCCCUGACCCAGCGACCCCCCCUGGGGGAUGAAGGUCCUCCGGAUUGU